UGUUGUGCGAAGGUAGCAUAAUCAUUAGUCUUUUAAUUGAAGGCUUGUAUGAAUGGUUGGACAAAAAGUAAGCUGUCUCAGUUAUAAUAAUUGAAUUUAACUUUUAAGUGAAAAGGCUUAAAUGGAUUAAGGGGACGAUAAGACCCUAUAAAGCUUGACAAUAAGUUAAUUAUAUUAUAAAUUGUUAGUAUAACUUGAUUUUAAUUGAUGUUUGUUACGUUGGGGCGACGAGAAUAUAAUGAGUAACUGUUCUUAAAUGUUUAUUGACAAAUAUAAUUGGUAUUUGAUUGAUCCUUUAUUAAAGAUUAAAAGAUUAAGUUACUUUAGGGAUAACAGCGUAAUCUUCUUUGAGAGUUCAUAUCGACAAGAAGGUUUGCGACCUCGAUGUUGAAUUAAGGA
Molecule: ribosomal RNA, 399 nt
Filed under: Penaeus semisulcatus
Lineage: Eukaryota; Metazoa; Arthropoda; Malacostraca; Decapoda; Penaeidae
Description: partial 16S ribosomal RNA
Rfam family: Bacterial large subunit ribosomal RNA
Source: RNAcentral